RNAcentral lists this ribosomal RNA (500 nucleotides) under uncultured bacterium. Its description in RNAcentral is "partial 16S ribosomal RNA". It matches the Rfam family "Bacterial small subunit ribosomal RNA", at positions 30 to 523 of the family's 1533-position model. The record is from RNAcentral.
AUUGAACGCUGGCGGCAUGCCUUACACGUGCAAGUCGAACGGCAGCACGGGAGCAAUCCUGGUGGCGAGUGGCGAACGGGUGAGUAAAGUAUCGGAACGUGCCCAGUCGUGGGGGAUAACGUAGCGAAAGUUACGCUAAUACCGCAUACGAUCUAUGGAUGAAAGCGGGGGAUCGCAAGACCUCGCGCGAUUGGAGCGGCCGAUAUCAGAUUAGGUAGUUGGUGGGGUAAAGGCUCACCAAGCCGACGAUCUGUAGCUGGUCUGAGAGGACGACCAGCCAAACUGGGACUGAGACACGGCCCAGACUCCUACGGGAGGCAGCAGUGGGGAAUUUUGGACAAUGGGCGAAAGCCUGAUCCAGCCAUGCCGCGUGCAGGAUGAAGGCCUUCGGGUUGUAAACUGCUUUUGUACGGAACGAAAAGGUUUGGCCUAAUAAGCUGAGCUCAUGACGGUACCGUAAGAAUAAGCACCGGCUAACUACGUGCCAGCAGCCGCGGUAA